RNAcentral lists this ribosomal RNA (465 nucleotides) under uncultured bacterium. RNAcentral's name for it is "partial 16S ribosomal RNA". It matches the Rfam family "Bacterial small subunit ribosomal RNA", at positions 28 to 507 of the family's 1533-position model. The record is from RNAcentral.
GACGAACGCUGGCGGCGUGCUUAACACAUGCAAGUCGAACGGAAAGGCCCCUUUUGGGGUACUCGAGUGGCGCACGGGUGAGUAACACGUCUGUAACCUGCCCUUGUCUUCGGGAUAACUUCAGGAAACUGGGGCUAAUACCGGAUAGGAAUCCGUGCUGCAUGGUGGGGGUUGGAAAGCUUCGGCGGUUUUGGAUGGACUCGCGGCGUAUCAGCUUGUUGGUGGGGUAGUGGCUUACCAAGGCUUUGACGGGUAGCCGGCCUGAGAGGGCGACCGGCCACCCUGGGACCGAGAUGCGGCCGCGGCUCCUACGGGAGGAAGAAGGGGGGAAGAGUGAACAAUGGGCGGAGGCCGGGUGAAGAAACGCCGCGGACGGGAUGACGGCCUUAGGGUUGUAAAACGCUUUCAGCAGGGGAGAAGCUUGUGGUGACGGUACCUGCAGAAGAAGCACCGGCUAACUACGUG